Long non-coding RNA from Oncorhynchus tshawytscha (Chinook salmon), 682 nucleotides. The record is from Ensembl. Lineage: Eukaryota; Metazoa; Chordata; Actinopteri; Salmoniformes; Salmonidae.
CUGUGUGUGUUGGUGUAUCUGUGUAAGUGUGUGUCUAUGUCACUGUCUGUGUCUGUUUGUCUGUCUCUCUGUUGAUGUCUGUGUGUGUGUGUGUGUGUGUGUGUGUGUGUGUGUGUGUGUGUGUGUGUGUGUGUGUGUGUGUGUGUGUGUGUGUGUGUGUGUGUUUGUAUGCAUGUCUGCGUGUGUAUGCAUGUCUGUGUGUGUGUGUGUGUGUGUGUGUGUGCUUGGGUUUGGGUUUGUGGACAUGCUUAACUAUACUUGUGGGGACCAAAAGAAUACAGAAUAGUAAACACACAUUUGGGGAUAUUUUGUUAGUCCCCACAAGGUCAAAUGCCAUUUCCAGGGUGUUUAGGGUUAGGGUUAGAAUUCGUUUUAGGGUUAGAAUUGGUUUUAGGGUUUGAUUUUUUUAUUUUUUGUGAAAUGUGUUGUUUUACAGGGUCAGCAAAAGAGUCACAACAGUCUGUGACUCAGGACAGACAGUUAGGCCCUACAGCAGUUUGUGACUCAGGACAGACAGUUAGGCCCUACAACAGUCUGUGACUCAGGACAGACAGUUAGGCCCUACAACAGUAAGUGACUCAGGACAGACAGGCCCUACAACAGUAAGUGACUCAGGACAGACAGGCCCUACAACAGUAAGUGACUCAGGACAGACAGGCCCUACAACAGUAAGUGACUCAGG